UAGCAGCUAAAGCAGCUAAAACUUUUACCAGUUUUUUACUUCUCUUCUUUAGGAGGAAAUGUCUGAUACAGCUUUGAGGCUAGCCCUGUCUUAAGCAGGGAUCAGCUUUGGAUGAUCUCCAACACUCCUUACAUCCUGAUUUGCUCUAUGACUCUAAGCUAUGUGUAGCAGAAAUGCUAAGUACAGCUUAAACCAGUGAUUGAGCACCUGGAGGGAAGGCAGGGCCAACCCAGGGGAGCUCAGCUGCAUGCAAUGUACCUGAGUGACCAGAAGGGGUGGAGCCAGGAUCCACCCUUUCCCAGAUCUCAUUUAAAGGUUGGCAGUGGAGAGAAGGAUGCUUUGCUAGCGAUUCCUGCCUACCUGAGGCCUUCUGAAGGUAGCCUGAUGAAGACCUUAAAGAUAAAGGCCAACCAUGGAGGCAGGGGAUACUUAAAAACACGUGAGAUGAAGUAGAUCCUGGUUUGCCCGCAAAACUUGUGUUUUCCACACGAGAAGAAUGACAGCUUCAACAUACAAUAAACCGUGUAU
Long non-coding RNA from Numida meleagris (helmeted guineafowl), 528 nucleotides. RefSeq lists it as uncharacterized. The transcript has 3 exons. The record is from RefSeq and is a predicted model, not a curated record. NCBI's taxonomy places the organism in Eukaryota, Metazoa, Chordata, Aves, Galliformes, Numididae.